RNAcentral lists this transfer RNA (71 nucleotides) under Patescibacteria group bacterium. RNAcentral's name for it is "tRNA-Ala". It matches the Rfam family "tRNA". Rfam says of the family: Transfer RNA (tRNA) molecules are approximately 80 nucleotides in length. Their secondary structure includes four short double-helical elements and three loops (D, anti-codon, and T loops). The record is from RNAcentral.
GGGCCUGUAGUCUAGUGGCACGACGCGUCAUUCGCAUUGACGAAGCGGGGGUUCGACUCCCCCCAGGUCCA